GUGCUUGCUUUGGCAGCACCUAUACUAAAAUUGGAACAAUACAGAGAAGAUUAGCAUGGCCCUUGUGCAAGGAUGAUGCACAAAUUCAUGAAGUGUUCCAUAUUAAA
Molecule: small nuclear RNA, 107 nt
Filed under: Myotis davidii
Lineage: Eukaryota; Metazoa; Chordata; Mammalia; Chiroptera; Vespertilionidae
Source: RNAcentral